AGUGUCAAGGGAUGGGAAUCGAACCUACGACCUUCCGCUUACCGGGCAGAUGCCAUGACCACUAGGCCACAUGACC
Cordylochernes scorpioides is the source of this 76-nucleotide non-coding RNA. The record is from the annotation of a GenBank genome assembly. Lineage: Eukaryota; Metazoa; Arthropoda; Arachnida; Pseudoscorpiones; Chernetidae.